This is a long non-coding RNA of Metopolophium dirhodum (rose-grain aphid), 996 nucleotides long. RefSeq lists it as uncharacterized. The record is from RefSeq and is a predicted model, not a curated record. Lineage: Eukaryota; Metazoa; Arthropoda; Insecta; Hemiptera; Aphididae. The transcript has 3 exons.
AUGUAAAACCACCAUGGGUGGGUGUCAGAAUUAUUUUUGCAUCAUCAAUUUUAAAACGUUGAUUUACCUAGAUUAAAAAAAAAAAAUUAAUUUGUAAUACUUAAGCUCGGUAAACUUUAAGCGUUGUACGGGUGCGUAAAACACCGAAAAUCGUGAACUUCGUAAGGCUAUACCAUAAAAACCAAUGAUUUGCAGGUAGUCGAGUUUUGGACAAGUACCUACAUAGGUAACUUAUAAUAAUUCAUAUUGUAAAUUAAUUAGGUACCAAAAAAAUAUAACUUCUCAAACACUGUGCCUAUUGUCACUGGCGGGAGAAUGUAUUAGAAUGUCUAUAAACUUGCGGACCAGUUUGUAUAGUUAAAUUUGGCAUGCGAACUAUAAUUGAAAUAGAAAACCAGAAUAGGUGCAUUGCAGAUCACAAAGAUUUCUGUAAAAGAACAUACGAUUUAUAAAUAUACCGUAUAGGUAUACUGAGUACUUAUAUAAUAAUAUAUAAGUUCUUUGGAUUUAUCAUAGUAAAUAAUAUAUUUUAUAAUAUCUAUGGCAAUCGUCAAUUGUCGAAAUUCGUCGGCGACGGUUAACAAUUCAUUAAUAUAAACGGACAGUUCGUUAAACCGGAUAAGUUGUAACACAAUCUCGCAAAUUUCGUUUGAUCAGGUUAUUUUCAUAAAAUAUUUCGAUACUUUCAAGUUUCAGCUCAUCGGAGUGAGAUGAUUAGAUGAAGAUGGAUGAAUAUAGCUGUUUCUUCGGCGAUGGCGGCACUCUACCUACGUUUCACCGGAAGAGUAGAUUUUUACGAUUCUGGCUGUAUUCUGGAGAGUUUCCUCAUGGGCGUCGCAAUUCACACACGUCACGGAUUCCGCCGAAGGAGUCGAUAAUUAAAACUGAACUUUUGGAUCGGAGAUAUGAAGACGCCCGCUGAAUUUUGCUUGGCGGAGACGCACAGCUCUGACACUAGACAAUAUUAUUAUACACUCAAAGGGAACGCGUUUCGCC